RNAcentral lists this ribosomal RNA (429 nucleotides) under Pseudomonadota bacterium. Its description in RNAcentral is "Proteobacteria bacterium partial 16S ribosomal RNA". It matches the Rfam family "Bacterial small subunit ribosomal RNA", at positions 355 to 776 of the family's 1533-position model. The record is from RNAcentral. Lineage: Bacteria; Pseudomonadati; Pseudomonadota.
UGGGGAAUAUUGGACAAUGGGCGAAAGCCUGAUCCAGCCAUGCCGCGUGUGUGAAGAAGGUCUUCGGAUUGUAAAGCACUUUAAGUUGGGAGGAAGGGCAGUAAGCGAAUACCUUGCUGUUUUGACGUUACCGACAGAAUAAGCACCGGCUAACUCUGUGCCAGCAGCCGCGGUAAUAUAGAGGGUGCAAGCGUUAAUCGGAAUUACUGGGCGUAAAGCGCGCGUAGGUGGUUCGUUAAGUUGAAUGUGAAAGCCCCGGGCUCAACCUGGGAACUGCAUCCAAAACUGGCGAGCUAGAGUAGGGCAGAGGGUGGUGGAAUUUCCUGUGUAGCGGUGAAAUGCGUAGAUAUAGGAAGGAACACCAGUGGCGAAGGCGACCACCUGGGCUCAUACUGACACUGAGGUGCGAAAGCGUGGGGAGCAAACAGG